ACGUCAUCCCCACCUUCCUCCAGUUUAUCACUGGCAGUCUCCUUUGAGUUCCCGGCCGGACCGCUGGCAACAAAGGAUAAGGGUUGCGCUCGUUGCGGGACUUAACCCAACAUUUCACAACACGAGCUGACGACAGCCAUGCAGCACCUGUCUCAGAGUUCCCGAAGGCACCAAUCCAUCUCUGGAAAGUUCUCUGGAUGUCAAGAGUAGGUAAGGUUCUUCGCGUUGCAUCGAAUUAAACCACAUGCUCCACCGCUUGUGCGGGCCCCCGUCAAUUCAUUUGAGUUUUAACCUUGCGGCCGUACUCCCCAGGCGGUCGACUUAACGCGUUAGCUCCGGAAGCCACGCCUCAAGGGCACAACCUCCAAGUCGACAUCGUUUACGGCGUGGACUACCAGGG
This 400-nucleotide unclassified non-coding RNA is filed under the name uncultured fungus. RNAcentral describes it as "sequence contains ITS1". Lineage: Eukaryota; Fungi. The record is from RNAcentral.